ACGGCCUGGGGCAUGUGGAUUUCUAGCCACGUUGGUGAUUCAGAUAGGACAUUUGAGGAGGCUGAAGAAGGUUUAAAAUAUGAAAGAGAUCUUACCCAAUAAAUCGGUCUCAGCUUAAAUGGCACCUCCUCUCUGAACACAGUGAAGUCCCAGCAUCCCCACCCCCAUAUUCUAUAUCCCAAUCCCUUCACAGAAUGUGUAUCAAUUUAUAAUUAUUUCAUUCCAUUUGCUUUUUAGUUGAAUGAGUGUUAAAUG
RNAcentral lists this long non-coding RNA (255 nucleotides) under Microcebus murinus (gray mouse lemur). RNAcentral's name for it is "lncRNA (ENSMICG00000048480.1)". Lineage: Eukaryota; Metazoa; Chordata; Mammalia; Primates; Cheirogaleidae. The record is from RNAcentral.